UGCCAGCCGCCGCGGUAACACGGGGGGCGCAAGCGUUAUUCGGAAUUAUUGGGCGUAAAGGGCGCGCAGGCGGUCUUGUCCGUCAGGUGUGAAAGCUCGGGGCUCAACCCCGGAAGUGCACUUGAAACAGCAAGACUUGAAUACGGUAGAGGAGAGAGGAAUUCCUGGUGUAGAGGUGAAAUUCGUAGAUAUCAGGAGGAACACCGAUGGCGAAGGCGGUUCCCUGGACCACAACUGACGCUGAGGCGCGAAGGCGUGGGUAGCGAACAGGAUUAGAU
Molecule: ribosomal RNA, 278 nt
Filed under: uncultured bacterium
Lineage: Bacteria
Description: partial 16S ribosomal RNA
Rfam family: Bacterial small subunit ribosomal RNA
Source: RNAcentral